AUCGGAAAGAAACCCCGGGACGUGUCCCGGGUUGACGGUACCGAUGGAAUAAGCACCGGCUAACUUCGUGCCAGCAGCCGCGGUAAUACGAAGGGUGCAAGCGUUAUCCGGAUUCAUUGGGUUUAAAGGGUGCGUAGGCGGAACAAUAAGUCAGCGGUGAAAGCCCGCAGCUUAACUGCGGAAUUGCCGUUGAUACUGUUGUUCUUGAGUACGUUUGACGUGGGCGGAAUGUGCCGUGUAGCGGUGAAAUGCUUAGAUAUGGCACAGAACACCGAUAGUGAAGACAGCUCACGAAGACGAAACUGACGCUGAGGCACGAAAGCGUGGGGAUCAAACAGGAUUAGAUACCCUGGUAGUCCACGCCGUAAACGAUGAUCACUCGUGAUUGGCGAUAUACUGUCAGUCACCUAGCGAAAGCGUUAAGUGAUCCACCUGGGGAGUACGAUCGCAAGAUUGAAACUCAA
RNAcentral lists this ribosomal RNA (464 nucleotides) under uncultured bacterium. RNAcentral's name for it is "bacterial SSU rRNA". It matches the Rfam family "Bacterial small subunit ribosomal RNA", at positions 439 to 904 of the family's 1533-position model. The record is from RNAcentral.